AUGCACGCGACUACGCUACUGAACAAGAUUACAGGAGAAACUGAGUACAAUACCGCGUCGCGCCCUAUACCACCUAAGUUCCACGACAACGCCCCCAGAAGGGAGAACGGCGUUGCCGAGUCCACAACAGACAGAGAUUUUCACCCGGAAUCGGGACACAAAGAGAAGCACCACGACAACGUCUUCAAGAAGAUAGCGGCGCCCGCGAGCGUCGCCGUCACCAGCACCAAAGCACGGAGCUUUCGCUCAGCAGCUCCACCGCGUCACCAUGAGGUCUUCAAGGCAAACUCCAGGUCCAAAUCGGGGCACCACCACCGCCGGAGACAAAGCGUGCCCGAGCCACCCAGUGCACCACCUCUCGCCGCCCACACGGCCAAGAGGAACGCCAUCACCGCCCAUAGCAGUUUCCUUGUUCUAGCACUAUUUUACUAUAUUGAAUAUUUGAAGCACCUGAUAAUAACCUUGCCAUCUUUGUCUUGA
This 480-nucleotide ribosomal RNA is filed under the name Triticum aestivum (bread wheat). RNAcentral describes it as "partial small subunit ribosomal RNA". Lineage: Eukaryota; Viridiplantae; Streptophyta; Magnoliopsida; Poales; Poaceae. The record is from RNAcentral.